CUAUACAUGCAGUCGAACGCUUCUUUUUCCACCGGAGCUUGCUCCACCGGAAAAAGAGGAGUGGCGAACGGGUGAGUAACACGUGGGUAACCUGCCCAUCAGAAGGGGAUAACACUUGGAAACAGGUGCUAAUACCGUAUAACAAUCGAAACCGCAUGGUUUUGAUUUGAAAGGCGCUUUCGGGUGUCGCUGAUGGAUGGACCCGCGGUGCAUUAGCUAGUUGGUGAGGUAACGGCUCACCAAGGCCACGAUGCAUAGCCGACCUGAGAGGGUGAUCGGCCACAUUGGGACUGAGACACGGCCCAAACUCCUACGGGAGGCAGCAGUAGGGAAUCUUCGGCAAUGGACGAAAGUCUGACCGAGCAACGCCGCGUGAGUGAAGAAGGUUUUCGGAUCGUAAAACUCUCUUGUUAGAGAAGAACAAGGAUGAGAGUAACUGUUCAUCCCUUGACGGUAUCUAACCAGAAAGCCACGGCUAACUACGUGCCAGCAGCCGCGGUAAUACGUAGGUGGCAAGCGUUGUCCGGAUUUAUUGGGCGUAAAGCGAGCGCAGGCGGUUUCUUAAGUCUGAUGUGAAAGCCCCCGGCUCAACCGGGGAGGGUCAUUGGAAACUGGGAGACUUGAGUGCAGAAGAGGAGAGUGGAAUUCCAUGUGUAGCGGUGAAAUGCGUAGAUAUAUGGAGGAACACCAGUGGCGAAGGCGGCUCUCUGGUCUGUAACUGACGCUGAGGCUCGAAAGCGUGGGGGAGCAAACAGGAUUAGAAUUA
This 766-nucleotide ribosomal RNA is filed under the name Enterococcus faecium. RNAcentral's name for it is "bacterial SSU rRNA". It matches the Rfam family "Bacterial small subunit ribosomal RNA", at positions 49 to 784 of the family's 1533-position model. The record is from RNAcentral. Lineage: Bacteria; Bacillati; Bacillota; Bacilli; Lactobacillales; Enterococcaceae.